UAGUAACGGCGAGUGAAGCGGCAAUAGCUCAAAUUUGAAAUCUGGUCUCCUUUGGGGGCCCGAGUUGUAAUUUGCAGAGGGCGCUUUGGCGUUGACAGCGGUCUAAGUUCCUUGGAACAGGACGUCACAGAGGGUGAGAAUCCCGUACGUGGUCGCCUGUCUUCGCCGUGUAAAGCCCCUUCGACGAGUCGAGUUGUUUGGGAAUGCAGCUCUAAAUGGGAGGUAAAUUUCUUCUAAAGCUAAAUACUGGCCAGAGACCGAUAGCGCACAAGUAGAGUGAUCGAAAGAUGAAAAGCACUUUGGAAAGAGAGUCAAACAGCACGUGAAAUUGUUGAAAGGGAAGCGCUUGCAGCCAGACGUGCCCGUGGUGGUUCUCCUCCGCGGGCAGGCCAGCAUCAGUUCGGGCGGUCGGAUAAAGGCCUCUGUCACGUAUCUACCUUCGGGUUGACCUUAUAGGGGAGGCGUAAUGCGAUCAGCUCGGACUGAGGUCCGCGCAUCUGCUAGGAUGCUGGCGUAAUGGCUGUAAGCGGCCCGUCUUGAAACACGGACCAAGGAGUCUAACAUCUAUGCGAGUGUUUGGGUGUCAAGCCCGGGCGCGCAAUGAAAGUGAACGGAGGUGGGAACCCUUUCUUGGGGUGCACCAUCGACCGAUCCUGAAGUCUUCGGAUGGAUUUGAGUAAGAGCAUAGCUGUUGGGACCCGAAAGAUGGUGAACUAUGCUUGAAUAGGGUGAAGCCAGAGGAAACUCUGGUGGAGGCUCGCAGCGGUUCUGACGUGC
RNAcentral lists this ribosomal RNA (777 nucleotides) under Dendryphiella vinosa. RNAcentral describes it as "partial large subunit ribosomal RNA". It matches the Rfam family "Eukaryotic large subunit ribosomal RNA", at positions 81 to 894 of the family's 3401-position model. The record is from RNAcentral. Lineage: Eukaryota; Fungi; Ascomycota; Dothideomycetes; Pleosporales; Dictyosporiaceae.